GCCGGGCUGGCACAAUCGGUAGCGCGUGAGACUCUUAAGACAUCUGUCGGCGAUCUCAAGGUUGUGGGUUCGAGCCCCACGUUCGGCU
This is a non-coding RNA of Amniculicola lignicola CBS 123094, 88 nucleotides long. The record is from the annotation of a GenBank genome assembly. Lineage: Eukaryota; Fungi; Ascomycota; Dothideomycetes; Pleosporales; Amniculicolaceae.